AGAGUUUGAUUAUGCUCAGGAUGAACGCUAGCGGCAGGCCUAAUACAUGCAAGUCGAACGGCACGGGUGCAGCAAUGCAUGCCGGCGAGUGGCGUACGGGUGCGUAACACGUUGUAACCUACCUUCAACAGGAGGAUAGCUCCGAGAAAUUGGAAUUAAUAUCCAUAAAAUUAUGUAUCGGCAUCGAUAUGUAAUUAAAGUUCCGGCGGUGGAGAUGGGCACGCGAAACAUUAGCUAGUUGGUGAGGUAACGGCUCACCAGGCGACGAUGUUUAGGGGUUCUGAGAGGAUUCACCCCCACACUGGUACGAGACACGGACCAGACUCCUACGGGAGGCAGCAGUAAGGAAUAUUGGUCAUGGGCGCAAGCCUGAACCAGCCAUGCCGCGUGAAGGAAGACGGCCUUAGGGUUGUAAACUUCUUUUAUACAGGAAAAACCUCCUGGUCGAGCAUCAGACUGAUUGUACUGUAUGAAUAAGGAUCGGCUAACUCCGUGCCAGCAGCCCGGUAAUACGGAGGAUCCAAGCGUUAUCCGGAUUUAUUGGGUUUAAAGGUGCGCAGGCGGAUUGGUAAGUCAGUGGUGAAAUCCCUCAGCUUAACUGAGAACUGCCAUUGAUACUAUCAGUCUUGAGUACAAAUGAAGUGGGCGGAAGUGUCAUGUAGCGGUGAAAUGCAUAGAGAUGACACAGAACACCGAUAGCAAGGCAGCUCACUAAGCCACAACUGACGCUGAGGGACGAAAGCGUGGGGGCAAACAGGAUUAGAUACCCUGGUAGUCCACGCCCUAAACGAUGCUUACCGGUGUUGGCGCCUUAUGCGUCAGUGCCCAAGCGAAAGUAAUAAGUAAGCACCUGGGGAGUACGAUCGCAAGAUUGAAACUCAAAUGAAUUGACGGGG
This 896-nucleotide ribosomal RNA is filed under the name uncultured Bacteroidota bacterium. RNAcentral's name for it is "bacterial SSU rRNA". It matches the Rfam family "Bacterial small subunit ribosomal RNA", at positions 8 to 918 of the family's 1533-position model. The record is from RNAcentral. Lineage: Bacteria; Pseudomonadati; Bacteroidota.